UCUAAGUUACCUUAGCAGUCUAUUUAGAGUUCUCAACUAAAUGAUAGCAACUAAAUAUGAGGGUUGCGUUCGUUAUAGCACUUAAGCAUAUGCUUCACAGCACGAACUGACGACGACCAUGCACCACCUGUGUCGGGAUAACCUCCGUUGAGUUUCCUCAACUUUGCCCUCCAUGUCAAACCUUGGUAAGGUUCUGCGCGUUGUAUCGAAUUAAACCACAUGCUCCACCGCUUGUGCGGGUCCCCGUCAAUUCCUUUAGGUUUUAGCCUUGCGGCCGUAGUCCCCAGGCGGAGCAUUUAAAGCGUUAGCUGCGACACUAAGCAUACUGCCUAAUAUCUAAUGCUCAUCGUUUAGGGCGUGGACUAC
RNAcentral lists this unclassified non-coding RNA (366 nucleotides) under uncultured bacterium. RNAcentral's name for it is "contains 16S-23S intergenic spacer region". The record is from RNAcentral.